GGGCAGUGGCCGCUGGGGGGUUGUCGCUUGGCGCCGCGCGCAGUCCCUAGCGCAACAUGCAGGAUCUUCCCGGCCUGACUGCUGCACCUCGAUCUGUUUUCGUCUCCUAUUCCAAGCAAGUAGCCAGGCUAAUUGCCGCCUUACUUCAGGGAAGUCUGUGGCAGAAGCUUGAAAGCAAAUGACCUACUACACCUGCUUGUGUCCUGGUCUUCAAGAGCUUGGGUUCCUGAAGUGGAUUAUGCUGGAGGAACACAGGUAGAAGCAGAAGUAACAAAGGAGAGAAGGAGACUGCCCUACUGCCCUAUACCAGGAAGGUGUGGUGGUUUCCACAAUCAUCAAGGGGCCUGUGUCCUACUUCUAGCAGAACCUGGGGAAGAAGACAAGGAUUCUGCGGAGCCUAACUGUGUGGUGAAGCUAGGGAGGCUGUACCCUUGGCAACAGGGCUUCCAUUGUGAAGAAAGAUGCCUGCAGGCCAAGAAGAGCAGAGAAACAGAGUCACUGCCAUUCAACAGUUCAUGACAACUUCAACAAUAGGGCCACCAUAAUGAGCCAAAAAUUAGGAGCAAUUCUCCUGUGUUUUAAGGAACCACAAAGUCUCUGAGAGACUGAAGAAGAGAGAACACCCAAAUGACAAAUUAAAUUUACCUCCAGCAAGGUGGGAUUAAGGCUCACAGAAAUAUCCAGCACACUCUCCUCACAUCUACUGGGGUCCAAGGCCUCAACAGCACAGUCUCCUCAACCUGCUGCUCCAGACAUUUCGCUUUUCUUCCUCUGCUUGAAUCCUACAAUCGCAAUGCUUUCCUGCCUCUGUGUUUGCUUGGAAUUUUUUGUCCUUUGGCAAUUUAAUGCUUGUAUUCAUCCAUUUAAUAAUAAGUGCCCAUCUUUUCUAUCUUCAAAUACUUGCCCUUCAUAAGGUUCUCCCUGACCCCUCUGAAAAGCCAUAAUUUCCUCCUUUACAUCUCCAAGUUUUGUACUUCUCUUGGGACAUUUACCCUGUACUACUUUUUGUUAUCAUUUCACAUCUGCUCCUCCCAACAUCUUAAACAUUUAUUGAACAUCUACUAAGCAUCCUAAAGACAGUGACUGUUUCCCAAGUACCUAGCAUAACACCAUAUGCCAUUGACCUUAGGACACUAAACUGAACAGAGCACAGAGCCUGUCCUCAAAGUUCUCAAAGUCUAUGUAUCAUGCUCAGGGAUCACAGGAUUGUAUGUAGUAACUUCUCAGCCUUUGUUGAUCUUGAUUGUCAGCACUUUAAAGCUCCAUUCAGCUACUUAUGUAAAAUUUAAGCAAAAUGAGGAAGAUAAUUUCGUUGGAGAGAAAGCUUCUGGAUGCUUCAGAAUAUGCCACCUCACCUGAAUGGUAACCAUUACACUUGUAAAUAAGAUAAAAUAGCAAGAAAAAUAUAAACAUAUGCUUUGAUUAU
Long non-coding RNA from Homo sapiens (human), 1426 nucleotides. Lineage: Eukaryota; Metazoa; Chordata; Mammalia; Primates; Hominidae. The record is from Ensembl.